This is a non-coding RNA of Macaca mulatta (Rhesus monkey), 5087 nucleotides long. NCBI's taxonomy places the organism in Eukaryota, Metazoa, Chordata, Mammalia, Primates, Cercopithecidae. The record is from RefSeq and is a predicted model, not a curated record.
GAUCAUGAGAUUUUGAAAUGAACCUCAAGAAUGAUAUGCGAAAGCACAUCUUGGUAGCUUUUGUUCUUUCCCUUGAUGAUCACCUCCUGCUCACACAGUCACUUCUUCCUUCAAUUCUCCCAGAUGUUGGAAGUCAACCUCAUUGUUUCGGUUCAUGAAUUAUAUUGUGCAAUAAGUUAAAUGAAAGGAGUUGAAUUGCAACAAAAACAACAGUAAAAUUUUUAUGAAUUUCACUUUAGGGAAGAGUAUAAACAUCUUCUUUGUUUUUAACUUAUCAAUUUUCCAUCAGCUUUUUAGGAGCAGCCUUUCCAGCUUGCUUUUAGGAAUGAUAGCAUCAGCAAACACAGGAGAAAGAGGCUGUAUGGGCCAGCAGCUGUAAGACGCCAGGAUAUUGGAAGCUUCAGAUGGUCAAAUCACCACUUCCAAGACAACAAUGAGAUUCAAAUGAAAAUCGAAUCAAUCCAGAUCCAUUGAGGCCAAUAAUGUACCUGGUUACUGGGAGUAAUGAAAAGAUGAUGGAGAUAUUGAUUCUGCCUUCAAGAAGCUUACAGUUUAGUGGCAGAGAUCUUCACUCCAGACCUGAGAAGAAUUCUUGAGAAGCUGCAACACUUUGUAUGGAGAGACUAGCACGGAAAAAGUUUAUUAAGUAAGUAAAAGACUGAAUGCAAAGAUAAUCCUUACACAGAGAGCCUACACUUUCUUACAAUAGAGGAAAAUGUUUUCUGUCUGGCCAGUCAGGUUGCAUCUAUGAGAGUACAGUUUCUACUGCUUGUAGAGAAAUUUCUGGAUAAAUACGCUUUCAUAGCAAUACUAAUCUCCACUGCUUGAAGAGAAAAUACCAUUUGGGGGAACUGGUGGAAUGGCAGUGCUCUGCUAAGAUUUCUAUUAUUCUCAAGAAUGUGUUGAUGAUCAUCUUCCUUAUCUUUAAACAGUUACUAUGUUUACCUCCAAGUGAAUUUCCUUUCUCCGUAGAGAUGCUAUUUUGGUAGCGAUCCUCUUUUCCUGUACAAAUGUCAAAAUCUGCUUAGUAAGGAAACAGCAAUGAAGUGCUUCACUUGAAAACUACAGAUGAUCUUGAAGAACGCAGUUCACGAUACAACCAAAGUCAACAUAAAGUUGAAUCUCCCAGAGCGGAGGUUACGAAAAGCUGUUACGAAUCAUCCAGCAUUCAGUGUGUGGGGCAGAGAGGGAGAGAUAAGCAGAGAAGAAUGGCUACAUUAUGAUGCUUGGUGUAUGAAGUAGAGAGGAAAGGACUCGACAUCUGGCAGUACAACACAGUUUUGCAGCACAGAGAGCUCAGUUUAUUUCACUAACAUCUAGGCUACAUUUGGAAAAUGCAGUAAAGAGAGAAAUAUGUCCAGAUAUUCCACGACUCCAUUAUCCUUCACAUAUCCUAUAUCAUGCAUGGACAAAAGAAUGAUGGAGAUGAUUUACCACUUAGAUCCCUAAAAUUCAUAAAUGCAUAGAAUAUCAGAGUUGAAAAAGAUUUUAGAAAUUCUUUAGGUCAGGUUAUUCUUAAAGGAGGAUUAUCAAAUCUUGCCUCCUGCAUAAGAAUCCCCUAAGAUCCUUGGGUUGUGACUUAAUUCUGAUACAAGGUGAACUAAAUAGCAUUGGUUCUGACUAAUGGACUCAUUCAUUUAUUCACCCAUUCAUCCAACAAAAAAGUGUUGAAUGACCCCAGUGUGUCCGUUUCUGUGCCACUGGUUUCCAGGGAGGUAAUGAGGAAGAAGUCAAGGGCUGCACCCUUGGAGAAUGCAGGGGCUAGGACAGGAAUCUCACACAUAAACAUUUAAUUCUGCUACACAUAAUGUUGUGAAAAAGUGAGUGUUUAUAAAAUGCUAUAGAAAUGCAGAGAAGGAGAUCAUUUUUUCUGCUUGGCACAGUUGGGGAAAAUCUUUCAGAAGUGGCAUUGAAAUCAGGACUUUGAAGAUGAAUGGAUGCUCGUCAUUUGGAGAGAAAAGAGAAAAAAAGAAUGAUAUUCUAGACAAGAGGAAGAGGCAAAAACACAUGAUAAGUUAACAAAACAGUAAAUAACUUGAUACUACUGGAAGGCAGGUGGGAAGGUAGAAAUGAUAUUUGCUGUGUAACUUAAGGCCUUGUCCGUCAUACCUGUGGCAGUUAUUUUAGUGUGUAUGAACACUACAUAUCCCAUUUCUUCUUUUCAGUCUUGAGCAGGAAGCGGUACUCAUUUCCAGAAUCAUGAGAUUGACUUGAUGAGACCUUCAUAUUGAAGAUAAAAACAAGGAAACUUUGAGUUAUCAUAGCCCAUUGUUUUCAGAAGAGUAUGUGUUUCUCAUGGGCAAAGGAGAGAAUCCAGAGUGAGAAGCUGAAGAAAGUGUGAAGUGCUAGAUUGGCGUGAUUUCAAAAGUUGUCCUUGAUGCUGCGAUGUAUCCUACAAUUGUUUAAAUGGAACGCAUUUUGAAAAUCUCGUUUCUUCAUACCAGUCUGAAACACUGGGGUACACCUGAAAGGGGGAACAGGCAGACAUGAAGAAGAAAACAACCCUGGCGUCCGGGUGCUGAUUGCCUUUUUUAUUCGCUUGAAAAGCCUCUCAGUGGAUUGAUUUGUGAUUUGGAUACCACUUCUCCAGCUCGGGACUCUGAAGUCUGUGCUUGUCGUACACUUCAGACAGUCAGCAGCCUGCUCAUAGAUGCCCCCUGUUUGUCAUGGACGCUUCCACAGAUAAGAGAAAAGGAGAGUGGAAGGAAGCGCAAAGAAGUCUGAGCCGCAGGGAGUCUCUUCAGGCCCUGGAAACACUUGCAGGAAAAAUGACAUCAUUUGAAUGAAAGAGUGAAUAUUAGAGGAAGGCCUGGCUUUGGAAGAGUCCAGUCUGAUAAAGAAGAUGAGUGUGGACACAACUAUGACAGAACCAAACUGAGCACACUCAUAGACACAGAAACACGUGCACACACAGUCUAGAGAUGCACAGCUCUGCAAGUGUUAAUUGCCACCUUUCAAGUAAAGAAAGUAACGUCACACUCAUGAUGGAACAAUGUCUGUCCAGGAUACUCUUCCGGAGCUAACAGAGGGCACAAAUACGAGCAGCUUGCAUAGCUAAGGCCAGGAGGAUUCCAGCAGGCAGCCAUUGCUUUGGGAGCUUUUGCCUGAGGAAGUUGUUCAGAGCUAGAAAACAGAAGCUGCUUCGCCUCCAAGCUCUGGUUUUCAUUUGCAGAAGUGAUCCUACAUUACAUUUGGCCAUCACGUCUCCCUGGACUCUUCUUGGCUGUGACAGUUUCUCAGACUUUCCUUGUUUCGAUCCCCUUGACAGCUUGAGGAGGACUGGCUAAGUAUUUUUUAGGAUGUCUCUGUAUUAACAAUUGUCUAAUGUUUUUCUCGCGAUUGAACUGGAGUUUCAAUAAUAUAUUCAAAACAAUCCUUCUCACAUCCUGCCCUUCAAAAAAAAAAAAAAAAUUCAUACCCUCAAACGUAACAAAAUCCCCCAGCCUCAACUCAGGAUGAUGUUAUGUAUCUUGUAAUUCAUUGACAAAUUUGCAAAAUGACACUGAAUACUGCAGGCUGCAGGCCUUUCCAUUAGUAACCUCACCCUAGGUACAAAUAAACAUCAUUUAAUGGAAGUUCCAUCAAUGGAGGAGGCUAAUCUUUGGCCUCCUGGGUUACAGGACGCUCUUGUUAGUUCCCUCCAGCACCUCCUCCACAUGUUGAAUUUUAAUGGGGCUGGGAAACCUGUGGGUUAGAAGUGUAUUGGUGUUAUUUCCUGUUUCCACUUCAGUUAGCCUCCCAACUUUCUGAUUUGACAUGAAUUUCGGGAGGGAAUGCAAUGUACACAACGGGAAACAAACACCUAAUUUUUUUCUUCUUUAAUAUGGCAACUUUUAAAAGACAGUGCAACUUUAAAAAUAGCAAAUAUUAUCACAUUGUGAGGAAGGAAAGUUUUUAUAAUGUACUAAGAGGUCCAAGUCACAUGAUGCUCACUGCCUAGUUUUUGUAAGCACUUUAUAAAUGCUGAGUGCAGGUGUUCACAUGCCUAAUGCCUACCCUUUACCAGGCGAUAUCAAACUCCUGUUUCUACUCCACGUGUUUCUCAUGUCCUUUGAAUACUCCACAUUUUAUAAUUGAAAUCUAGGACAACCCUGUGAGUUGAGAAAGAAAAAAUUAAUUUUUUUUUUUUGUUUAACAUAAAAUAAACAUAGGUGAUUUCUUUCUUUUGUCAUUUCCCAGAUAGGCUAGGUUCUGAGACCUCGUUGCAUCUUAGCAGGAGGCCGGUGGGGAAGAAUCUGGGGAUGGAUAGAAAACUGGCAGAGCUCAUUCCCAAAGGAGAGUGUCAAUCACAUAACUUCUGCUGUCACCAAGAAAGUGGGACCAAGUCAGCCCUAAUUCAGAGAUGGUUCUAGGUGACCCACCAAAUGUUUGUGUUGGACUGACCAGUUUAUGCUGUUCUCUGCAGGCUGACCUACCAUGAGGGUGGAGAGGAUGAAAGGGUCCAGGCAGCAGAAACAGCAUAGGGAGCGCGCAGGGAGACCUGAGGCUUGGGAAGCAUCCCUGGUCGAACAGAAGCAAGAAGAAGGAAAAAGGACACGUAUUUAUAAGCGUGAUGUCUGCACACACAGCAGCCUCACCCGUGACGUGACGGGUCACGAAAUGAAUUGACCUGCUAGAUCACUGUCUAGCACAGAAUUACUGAGAAUCUGCCAGGUGGAAGAAAGUGCCCAGGAACUGGAAAUCCAGCACUGAACGGAAGGACAUCCCUCAUGGAGCUUGCAUUUUAGGAGCUCAGUUACCCUGGGAGAAGCCAGCCUGCACAUUGUGAAGGCACCAAAGCUGACUGCACAGAGAUGACAGGAAGAGAAACUGAGGCUUCCCAUCAACAGCCAACACCAACUUGCCAGCCAUAUAAGUGAGACAUAGUAAAAGCAGAUCCAUCAGAUGGUUAGGUCUUCAAAAAACUGCAGCUUUGCCAACCUUGCAAAAAACCCUGGAUCAAAACCGUUCAGAUAAGCCACUCCCAAAUAUGCAGGCUACUGUAGUAGUUACUCAUUGAUGCAUACCCAAUUAUUCCAAAAUGUAGUGGCGGGCGCCUGUAGUCCCGGCUACUCGGGAGGCUGAGGCAGGAGAAUGGCGUAAAAACC